GAUGAAGAACGUAGCGAAAUGGGAUAAGUAAUGUGAAUUGCAGAAUUCAGUGAAUCAUCGAAUCUUUGAACGCACAUUGCGCCCCCUGGUAUUCCGGGGGGCAUGCCUGUCCGAGCGUCAUUACAACCCUCAAGCUCAGCUUGGUGUUGGGCCCCGCCGCCCCGGCGGGCCCUAAAGUCAGUGGCGGUGCCGUCCGGCUCCGAGCGUAGUAAUUCUUCUCGCUCUGGAGGUCCGGUCGUGUGCUCGCCAGCAACCCCCAAUUUUUUUCAGGUUGACCUCGGAUCAGGGAGGGAUACCCGCUGAACUUAAGCAUAUCAAUAAGCGGAGGA
This 329-nucleotide unclassified non-coding RNA is filed under the name soil metagenome. Its description in RNAcentral is "partial contains 5.8S ribosomal RNA, internal transcribed spacer 2, and large subunit ribosomal RNA". The stretch from base 1 to 120 matches the Rfam family "5.8S ribosomal RNA", at positions 35 to 154 of the family's 154-position model. The record is from RNAcentral.